This 506-nucleotide ribosomal RNA is filed under the name uncultured bacterium. RNAcentral's name for it is "partial 16S ribosomal RNA". It matches the Rfam family "Bacterial small subunit ribosomal RNA", at positions 30 to 523 of the family's 1533-position model. The record is from RNAcentral.
AUUGAACGCUGGCGGCAGGCCUAACACAUGCAAGUCGAACGGCAGCACAGAAGAGCUUGCUCUUUGGGUGGCGAGUGGCGGACGGGUGAGUAAUGUCUGGGAAACUGCCCGAUGGAGGGGGAUAACUACUGGAAACGGUAGCUAAUACCGCAUAACGUCGCAAGACCAAAGUGGGGGACCUUCAGGCCUCACACCAUCGGAUGUGCCCAGAUGGGAUUAGCUAGUAGGUGGGGUAAUGGCUCACCUAGGCGACGAUCCCUAGCUGGUCUGAGAGGAUGACCAGCCACACUUGAACUGAGACACGGACCAGACUCCGACGGAAGGCAGCAGUGGGGAAUAUUGCACAAUGGGCGAAAGCCUGAUGCAGCCAUGCCGCGUGUAUGAAGAAGGCCUUCGGGUUGUAAAGUACUUUCAGCGGGGAGGAAGGCGGUGAGGUUAAUAACCUCGCCGAUUGACGUUACCCGCAGAAGAAGCACCGGCUAACUCCGUGCCAGCCGCCGCAGUAA